RNAcentral lists this long non-coding RNA (799 nucleotides) under Eutrema salsugineum. Its description in RNAcentral is "long non-coding RNA (ESAL_LNC001114)". Lineage: Eukaryota; Viridiplantae; Streptophyta; Magnoliopsida; Brassicales; Brassicaceae. The record is from RNAcentral.
UCGGGUCGAAGUCUGUACGGCUCUAACUUCUGUUGGGGAUGAUCUCUUUCUGGAGGAAGCUGCUAUGGAUGUUACUCCUGUUUGGGAUGAAUUCUUUGGCGAUACAACCAUGGUGGGUGGUGAGGAACUUGAAUGGGAGGAUUUGCAGAACGCGAUCACCUGGGUUGAAGAACCCGUCCAAGUUAGUAUUUUCAGUCUGGAAGAAGCAGAAGAAGUAGUAGAAGGAGAAGAAGAGUUGCUUGUAGCAUCGAGGGAUGAGGAUCAAGAUCAUCAUGAUGUACAUUGGGAGGUUUCGUUACCUGUUAACAAUGUUGGUUUUUUGGAAGAAGCUGAAGAUGUUAUGGAUAUGGUAGACGACUCUGCUCUUAUGGAUUUUCAUUACGGCGUUUUUCUAGCUAGUAUAGAUGAAUAUGAUGAUGAUCAUGGAGAUUACGAUGCCAUAUUCGCACAAUCAUUCGAUCAAGAGGCUGGAAUAAACGGGAGUCCACCGGCAUCCAAAAGGGUUGUAGAUGAUCUCCCAGUUGUGGAAAUUACCACUGAAGAAUUGAGCAAAGGGGACAUUGUUUGCGCAAUCUGCAAAGAUGAAGUUGUGGUGGAGGAGAAAGUAAAGAGGCUUCCUUGUAAGCAUUACUAUCAUGGAGAGUGUAUCAUACCUUGGCUAGGGAUAAGGAAUACAUGCCCUGUUUGUAGGUAUGAGCUACCAACUGAUGAUGUUGAGUAUGAAAGGAAUAGGAGAUCACAAAGGCAUGGUAGCAGCGUUUUGGCAAGGGAUUUGAUGUCCGAGUAGAUUGAAGUAAUU